UGGGGAAUUUUGGACAAUGGGGGCAACCCUGAUCCAGCAAUGCCGCGUGAGUGAAGAAGGCCUUCGGGUUGUAAAGCUCUUUUGUCAGGGAAGAAACGGUAGUAGCGAAUAACUAUUACUAAUGACGGUACCUGAAGAAUAAGCACCGGCUAACUACGUGCCAGCAGCCGCGGUAAUACGUAGGGUGCAAGCGUUAAUCGGAAUUACUGGGCGUAAAGCGUGCGCAGGCGGUUGUGUAAGUCAGAUGUGAAAUCCCCGGGCUCAACCUGGGAAUUGCAUUUGAGACUGCACGGCUAGAGUGUGUCAGAGGGGGGUAGAAUUCCACGUGUAGCAGUGAAAUGCGUAGAUAUGUGGAGGAAUACCGAUGGCGAAGGCAGCCCCCUGGGAUAACACUGACGCUCAUGCACGAAAGCGUGGGGAGCAAACAUGAUUAGAUACCCUAGUAGUCCCUGAGCGGGCUGGCAAGGCGCAU
Molecule: ribosomal RNA, 472 nt
Filed under: uncultured bacterium
Lineage: Bacteria
Description: bacterial SSU rRNA
Rfam family: Bacterial small subunit ribosomal RNA
Source: RNAcentral